CUAUUAAUCAACAAAAGAAAGCAUACGAUUUAAAUAACUGAAUUGCAAAAUUAAGAAAGCACAUCAACUUUGCGUAUUAAGGAUAUGUAGGAAAAAUAUUCAUAAAGCAUCUGUCAUCUGUUUCAAAGAGGAAUGCUUAAUUAGAAUACAGUGACCUCAAUUGGUCACCCAGCUUAAAUGGUUCAGGAUUGUGUCCUGACUAAAAGUUGCCAUGGCAACUAAAAGUCAAGUCAAACAGCUGCUCAGUCUGUUGCCUAACUUUGUUCACCUAGUUAAAAGUUUUCAUGCUAGAUAAUAUAUUUCCCACAUUUAUACUUAUUUUUUAGUUUCUAGGAAAAUAUGUAGAGGCAUUCUGGCUUUUUUCUUGGUACAAGUCAUAGUUCAUUUGUUAUUAUGGUUACAAAUAAGAAAUAUCCAAAACAACAAACAAACAAACGAAACCAGAUAAGAAACAUACCAGAUAUUUCUAAGUAAUUCUAGACAUCUGGGUGUGCUGAAAUACACUUCAAAUUUGAACGUUUCCUCCCGCAAUGUUUGGUCCGUGUGCAUUAAAAUCCAGUUAAGCAAAUCUUUAUCUCAAAACCUGCUAUGUGGAGAAUCUGACCUGAAAUGAACAUCCAGAUAUUUUUUCAUAAUUGGGGGAAUUCCAACAUGAGUGAGAGAUAAGACUUUACUUCCAAGAAUAGACAUUAUCACCCUUUACUUCCUGUCAGCUAGAGUGUGAGCUCAUGCCUCUGAUAUUUGAAGGAAUGACCUACAGGUUCAGGGUCAGAUUUACAGAGUUGAGACCCCAGUCGUGUGGUCACAAAGGACGCAUGGUGACAAUGCCAACCAGCAGUGAUCAGAGAGGGUAACUCCCAUGGCAUAUCUUUGACUAUGCUUCACUUCCUCUGGUUUCCAUCUACGCCUGGUCUAUUAUCCUACAAAUGGAGUUCACAGAUUUCCCAGACCUUUUUCUGAAAAUGUGGACACUGACAUGGAAUGCCCAAAAGUGGAAUGGAGCACUAACUGAGGGUUUUGGAGGACUUGGAAAAUCAAGAACCUACAGCUUCCAUUUAGUUUCCUCUCUCAAUGGAAGUAGCUUCUCCCUUGUCUCAAAUAAUUAUUCCUGCCUUUCCUGAGGACCCUGCAACUCUCUAAUCUGUAGAAGGUGCUUUGGGAGCUGGGUGUUAAAGUGCAGACAUGGCCAAGUCCAAGAACCACACCACAUACAAACAUUCCUGAAAAUGGCACAGAAAUGGCAUCAAGAAACCCUGAUCGCAAAAAUAUGAAUCUCUUAAGGGGGUAG
Molecule: long non-coding RNA, 1288 nt
Organism: Macaca mulatta (Rhesus monkey)
Lineage: Eukaryota; Metazoa; Chordata; Mammalia; Primates; Cercopithecidae
Source: Ensembl